GAGGAAAAGAAACCAACAGGGAUUGCCCCAGUAGCGGCGAGUGAAGCGGCAAGAGCUCAGAUUUGAAAUCGUGUUUCGGCACGAGUUGUAGAGUGUAGGCGGGAGUCUCUGUGGAGCGCGGUGUCCAAGUCCCUUGGAACAGGGUGCCUGAGAGGGUGAGAGCCCCGUAGGGUGCUGCGCGAAGCUUUUGAGGCCCUGCUGACGAGUCGAGUUGUUUGGGAAUGCAGCUCCAAGCGGGUGGUAAAUUCCAUCUAAGGCUAAAUAUUGGCGAGAGACCGAUAGCGAACAAGUACUGUGAAGGAAAGAUGAAAAGCACUUUGAAAAGAGAGUGAAACAGCACGUGAAAUUGUUGAAAGGGAAGGGUAUUGGGCUCGACAUGGGGGGUGCGCACCGCUGUCUCUUGUAGGCGGCGCUCUGGGCGCCCUCUGGGCCAGCAUCGGUUCCUGCUGCGGGAGAAGGGGCUCCGGAAAGUGGCUCUUCGGAGUGUUAUAGCCGGGGCCAGAUGCCGCGUGUGGGGACCGAGGACUGCGGCUUCUGUCUCGGAUGCUGGCAUAACGGCGCAAUACCGCCCGU
This 573-nucleotide ribosomal RNA is filed under the name Pichia manshurica. RNAcentral's name for it is "eukaryotic LSU rRNA". It matches the Rfam family "Eukaryotic large subunit ribosomal RNA", at positions 53 to 652 of the family's 3401-position model. Lineage: Eukaryota; Fungi; Ascomycota; Pichiomycetes; Pichiales; Pichiaceae. The record is from RNAcentral.